RNAcentral lists this ribosomal RNA (468 nucleotides) under uncultured bacterium. RNAcentral describes it as "partial 16S ribosomal RNA". It matches the Rfam family "Bacterial small subunit ribosomal RNA", at positions 28 to 507 of the family's 1533-position model. The record is from RNAcentral.
GACGAACGCUGGCGGCGUGCUUUACACAUGCAAGUCGAACGGAAAGGCCCUGCUUUUGUGGGGUGCUCGAGUGGCGAACGGGUGAGUAACACGUGAGUAACCUGCCCUUGACUUUGGGAUAACUUCAGGAAACUGGGGCUAAUACCGGAUAGGAGCUCCUGCUGCAUGGUGGGGGAUGGAAAGUUUCGGCGGUUGGGGAUGGACUCGCGGCUUAUCAGCUUGUUGGUGGGGUAGUGGCUUACCAAGGCUUUGACGGGUAGCCGGCCUGAGAGGGUGACCGGCCACAUUGGGACUGAGAUACGGCCCAGACUCCUACGGGAGGCAGCAGUGGGGAAUAUUGCACAAUGGGCGGAAGCCUGAUGCAGCAACGCCGCGUGCGGGAUGACGGCCUUCGGGUUGUAAACCGCUUUCGCCUGUGACGAAGCGUGAGUGACGGUAAUGGGUAAAGAAGCACCGGCUAACUACGUG